Molecule: ribosomal RNA, 488 nt
Filed under: uncultured bacterium
Lineage: Bacteria
Description: bacterial SSU rRNA
Rfam family: Bacterial small subunit ribosomal RNA
Source: RNAcentral
AUUGAACGCUGGCGGCAUGCUUUACACAUGCAAGUCGAACGGUAACAGGGAGCUUGCUCCGCUGACGAGUGGCGAACGGGUGAGUAAUGCAUCGGAACAUGCCCAGUCAUGGGGGAUAACUACGCGAAAGCGUAGCUAAUACCGCAUACGCCCUGAGGGGGAAAGUGGGGGGUCUUAGGACCUCACGUGAUUGGAGUGGCCGAUGUCAGAUUAGCUAGUUGGUGAGGUAAAGGCUCACCAAGGCGACGAUCUGUAGCGGGUCUGAGAGGAUGAUCCGCCACACUGGGACUGAGACACGGCCCAGACUCCUACGGGAGGCAGCAGUGGGGAAUUUUGGACAAUGGGCGCAAGCCUGAUCCAGCCAUGCCGCGUGAGUGAAGAAGGCCUUCUGGUUGUAAAGCUCUUUCGCAAGGGAAGAAAACGGCAAGGUUAAUACCUUUGUCGGCUGACGGUACCUUGACAAGAAGCACCGGCUAACUACGUGCCAG